This 225-nucleotide unclassified non-coding RNA is filed under the name Hevea brasiliensis (rubber tree). The record is from RNAcentral. Lineage: Eukaryota; Viridiplantae; Streptophyta; Magnoliopsida; Malpighiales; Euphorbiaceae.
GGGCGCCGAUGCCGCCGCCGCAGCAGCAGCAGAAGGGGAGUGGAGGAGGGCAAGGACAGCGUAGUUCUUACGGAGAGCGUUGACGGAGUUACCAACGACUGACACGUGUCGACAUCGAGGGCAAGACAACGUCGUAUCGAGCGAAGCAGAGAACAUCCGUGAUAGACACUCCUUGCAGAAGCCGUGUCCACAUUGAAGCAGCAAAGGAACUCUCUCCUCCUCGUU